RNAcentral lists this long non-coding RNA (348 nucleotides) under Capsicum annuum. RNAcentral describes it as "long non-coding RNA (CANN_LNC015359)". Lineage: Eukaryota; Viridiplantae; Streptophyta; Magnoliopsida; Solanales; Solanaceae. The record is from RNAcentral.
GAGAUAGAGUAAGAGAGUAAGGACAGUUAGUUUUAGCUUUGCUCAGCCUAAGGCACAGGGUGGUAACCGUUCUCAACAUAGUCAUAAGUUUUUAGUCCUAGCUCCAUCCUCAGCUAGUGCACCAGUACCCAAGUUUAGGAAUGACUGUAAUGAUGUGCUCCAGUGUUCAAGGCCCAGGUUAGUGAGAGCAGGAGUCUUUCCUAACUGCUUUGCAAAAAGUAUGGUAAGAAUCACCUAGGUACAUGUAGGGUAGGUAGUGAUGUAUGCUUUGGGUGUGGCAAGCAGGACACAGGAUGUGAGAGUGUAGAGUUCUAGCAUAGAGGGGCAAAGAUUUGUGUUAGUAGGGCA